CCCGCCUCAUCGUGAUUGGCAGACAGCUUGUCCAGCAUCUCUCGGUCCACGUUCAGGAUGCGCUGCUCCAGGACGCCGGCGUAAAACGGAGCGCUUUCCUUCCUUUCUCGCUCCAACGCCUGCAGCUGCUGCUUCAAGGCUUCGGGCAGAGACACCGCACAAGUGUACCAGUGACGGCAAUGAUGGAAACUGUUCUGAAGAAAAUGGACCUUUUCACGUGCCUGUCAAGCAUCUUUAUCAGAUGAGACCAAUUGACGCAUUCACUUGCAACACGGAGGCCCGUGCCGCUUACCUCCCCCCCAUGGCCGUCAAAGAUGCCGAAGAUGGACGGGUGGCUCUUGUUGGCGAUGUCGGUGAGCACGUCGUAGCGGUCCUCCAUGUGAUCCCUUCUGCCUUGUAUGGAGUACACGGCCACGUUGUCGCUCUUGAACUCCCAGGUCUUUGAAAACUCGGCGUCCAGCACGCUGAGGCCUCCCAGCCGGUCGUUGUGCAUCAUCUCGGCCACUUUGCCCUUCACCAUCUUCACGGCGUCGCGGCUUGACUUGACUAUGGUCUUCACCUCAUCCGUGUGGAAGAAGUAGCUCCACAACGCCAGGCUGAUGCACAGAAGGAACAGCGUCUCUGGCCUUAGGAGAAAAUAGCGCAUGAUCCGACCCAGAAGAGACAAGAGCGUCAUCGUGUCUCCUAUCAUCACACGCCGCCCAAAACACGGUUCACUCCAUCAACGGGGGACAUUGAACGCACCACCGCCGCCACCGAGGCCUGCCGGAGCUUCUGCUGCCGCGACUACCGCACGCCGGGCGGCUAUGACUCAGACGGCGGAGCCACCUUCAUUCGCUUCGGGUUUAAAUCAGCAGCGAACUGACUUCCGACCUAAGCCCGAGGUCUCGCGGUCCAUCUCGGGAGGUGGACGCGGAUGUUGUUGGUGGCUCAGACCCACCCCGUGGAGAGCGACACGGAGGGGGGCGGGGGUAGGAAAAGCCGGCCUCCUUUCAGCUGCGGCGGACUCUGGUUUUACUUCUCAAAGUGAAGCAGGACAACGUUUAACCCCAAAACACAAACACACACAUCGCACUCCCCACGAGAGUAAAAUGAUACAGUAAGAAGACACGCGUGAUACGGAGAGAAACACUUUGUUUUGAAAAUCUAAAUCGGAUGUAUCGACAUUCGAACGCUCUCUCUGAUGCGCUCACGCUGAUGCGUACUACGCAGUGAUAUCAAGUGCGCAGCCGCAACACUUUGGUCGAAAACGGUCUGUGUUGGGAAAAUAAAAGUACAUUUUAUCACUCGGCUUGAAUUUUGUUUUUGCGGAAUCUCAAUCCGAACAUUUCGCCAUACACCAAAUAGUAUUAGUCUCUCACGCUGAUUUGUGACCGCUGCAGAGAACGAAGAUGUCGCCUUCCAACCAAAACCGGUUUUAUCUACGUCCCUUGCGAGUUCCUAAAAUAUGACUCUUUGAAAAGUAACAUAGUUGAAGUAUAAAUUGGGGUUUAUUCUUGCGUCAAGUUCCUUUGCCUUAACCUGCAAAAAAUAAUUAUAGUAACUGAAAUUGAAAUAAAAUUGCUCCACAAUUA
This is a long non-coding RNA of Hippocampus zosterae (dwarf seahorse), 1574 nucleotides long. RefSeq lists it as uncharacterized. The record is from RefSeq and is a predicted model, not a curated record. NCBI's taxonomy places the organism in Eukaryota, Metazoa, Chordata, Actinopteri, Syngnathiformes, Syngnathidae. The transcript has 3 exons.